UACAGAGGGUGCGAGCGUUAAUCGGAAUUACUGGGCGUAAAGCGUGCGUAGACGGUUAUUUAAGUCGGGUGUGAAAGCCCCGGGCUCAACCUGGGAAUUGCAUUCGAGACUGAAUAGCUAGGGUACGGUAGAGGGAAGUGGAAUUUCCGGUGUAGCGGUGAAAUGCGUAGAUAUCGGAAGGAACAUCAGUGGCGAAAGCGACUUCCUGGACCAGUACCGACGUUCAGGCACGAAAGCGUGGGGAGCAAACCGG
This 253-nucleotide ribosomal RNA is filed under the name uncultured bacterium. Its description in RNAcentral is "partial 16S ribosomal RNA". It matches the Rfam family "Bacterial small subunit ribosomal RNA", at positions 524 to 776 of the family's 1533-position model. The record is from RNAcentral.